AGUGAACGCUGGCGGUAGGCCUAACACGUGCAAGUCGAACGUCAGCACAGUAAGAGCUUGCUCUUACGGGUGGCGAGUGGCGGACGGGUGAGGAAUACAUCGGAAUCUACUUUUUCGUGGGGGAUAACGUAGGGAAACUUACGCUAAUACCGCAUACGACCUACGGGUGAAAGCAGGGGAUCUUCGGACCUUGCGCGAUUGAAUGAGCCGAUGUCGGAUUAGCUAGUUGGCGGGGUAAAGGCCCACCAAGGCGACGAUCCGUAGCUGGUCUGAGAGGAUGAUCAGCCACACUGGAACUGAGACACGGUCCAGACUCCUACGGGAGGCAGCAGUGGGGAAUAUUGGACAAUGGGCGCAAGCCUGAUCCAGCCAUACCGCGUGGGUGAAGAAGGCCUUCGGGUUGUAAAGCCCUUUUGUUGGGAAAGAAAAGCAGCAGGUUAAUACCCCGCUGUUCUGACGGUACCCAAAGAAUAAGCACCGGCUAACUUCGUG
Molecule: ribosomal RNA, 492 nt
Filed under: uncultured bacterium
Lineage: Bacteria
Description: partial 16S ribosomal RNA
Rfam family: Bacterial small subunit ribosomal RNA
Source: RNAcentral